AGUGUGCAUUUGGCCACAGAACCAUUUUGUACAAUAAAAAUUAGGAGAUCUGUGUCAGUAAUAGAUUUGAUAUAGCUAACUAGAAAUAACAUAUUAUUUCAGAGGCCUUAUUUCCUCUCCUGGCAUUCUGUAUUUCUCUAAGAUACAUAUGGAAUUUCAUUGCAUUGCCUGACACUCGGUGCCAUAGCCUCAAAGACUGAUUUUUAACUACAUAAGUUCAGGGACCUAGUAGGGUCAGUGGAUGAGCUUUAAGUGAUCUGUGACUCCUUAAGUUGUUUGCAAAAUGUUGCUUGUGUAUGUGCAAUUAAGUGGGGAAAAAUGUUCUAUUUCCCUAAUUAGGUUUUCAGAGGGCUCCAUGACCCUAAAGAGGUUAAGAACCAAUAGUAAAGAGUUUACAAAACAUUAUUAUUCCCAUUUUAUAAUUAGAAAAUUGAGGAAUAGAAAUUGACAGCAGCUGAUUUGCUGCUUAAGAAAGAAAAUUAGAUGUCAUAGUUCCCUAAUCCUGUAAUGCUAUAAGCUAUUAGAUUAUUAAGACCACUGAAGCAUAUAAAAAAUGGGGGCAUCUGGCCCAAAUUAGGGUCUGUAGGGAGUUGUUUGCCUUCCCAUCAUAUAUCCAGUGAGGGCCCUGCACUCAUGUUGGAGUGGGCCUUUCUCCACUAAACCACCAUAAGCUUAUGCAAUUGGAUUUGAGAAAUUGGCAGCUGCAAGAAACCACCAACCCCAAUGGGGAAAGGCUACAGUCCAGAUAACUGAAAUGUUAACAAGGCAGAAGCACUUAACUUUGGUCUGCCUUAGGUGGCAAAGGAAACCAGAGAAAACAAGUAUCGGGGCUCUGCUAUCAAGGUAAAUCGCAAUACAUUCUUCCCCCAUGACUCUUCCCCAUAUCCUCUCUGUUGAACCUCUGAAGUUAACAAUAGGGGAUAAAAUGCAGGAGGGUUUUGUUGUUAAGAAUUGGAAACCGAAACUUAAUAAAAUUACUUAGACUCUGGAAAGCUCUGGGCAUCAAGAAAUGGGCUGAUAUGUUUUUCUCUUGAGUGGCAGACUACACAUGCUUUCUUUCCUGCCACAAAACCUGACUCUCACAUCUAUUUCUCAAUUCAGAGGGUCUACUGUGUGGAUGCCCAUUUGACUGUAGAUGUCAAAAUCUAGUUACUGAAGUUUAAUUUCCUUAAUCUGAAUUUCAGAUUUUUAUUUUCUGCACUAGGUAGAAAUUGUUGACCACAAUACAAGAUUUCUAAAAUUAAUGUCCUAGAUAUGAAAGAGAAAUUGAAUUUGGUUUUUUAUAUUAAAUAAGCACAUACUUUAAGGGUUAGCUUCUAAUAAGAUGUGCUGGAAUUAAUCGUCAUUCAUCUGUAAUUCUAAAGCACCUAGUUCAUACCUUGAUUGUUAACACUUUUCACUAUUUAUUUGAGUUGUUGCUGUGUUUAUCUCCCUUGCAUAGAUAGUAAAUUUCUUGAGGGUGGGGCCCAGUCUUUUUCGCCUUUUUCUCUUUGUUGCCUGAUACUCAACAAUUACUUCUUGAGUGGGCAAAUAGAAAUUGUUUCUAAAUAAUCAUUUCAUCCUGUUCAGAGUGACCAGUUUGCCAAGAAUUCUAACUGCCUUAAUCUUUUUAAUCAUUGAUAGUAUUGUUUCCUUGUUUUCUUUCUGUAGAUUUUUAACAUGAUUAAAAAGAGUUCUAAAGAAAUAGGUAAGCUUUACAAUGAAAAUCAAUAUUUCUUUCAAAAUCCUCCCUUUUCUAGGUGCAAAGUCCUUCAUGGAUGCAACCUCAACCAUAUAUUCUACAGCACCCUGGUGCCGUGUUAACUCCCUCAAUGGAGCACACCAUGUCACUACAGCCCGCAUCAAUGAUCAGCCCUCUGGCCCAGCAGAUGAGUCAUCUGUCACUAGGCAGCACCGGAACAUACAUGCCUGCAACGUCAGCUAUGCAAGGAGCCUACUUGCCACAGUAUGCACAUAUGCAGACGACAGCGGUUCCUGUUGAGGAGGCAAGUGGUCAACAGCAGGUGGCUGUCGAGACGUCUAAUGACCAUUCUCCAUAUACCUUUCAACCUAAUAAGUAACUGUGAGAUGUACAGAAAGGUGUUCUUACAUGAAGAAGGGUGUGAAGGCUGAACAAUCAUGGAUUUUUCUGAUCAAUUGUGCUUUAGGAAAUUAUUGACAGUUUUGCACAGGUUCUUGAAAACGUUAUUUAUAAUGAAAUCAACUAAAACUAUUUUUGCUAUAAGUUCUAUAAGGUGCAUAAAACCCUUAAAUUCAUCUAGUAGCUGUUCCCCCGAACAGGUUUAUUUUAGU
Molecule: small RNA, 2292 nt
Filed under: Pan troglodytes (chimpanzee)
Lineage: Eukaryota; Metazoa; Chordata; Mammalia; Primates; Hominidae
Description: retained intron
Source: RNAcentral